This 71-nucleotide transfer RNA is filed under the name Xibalbanus tulumensis. Its description in RNAcentral is "tRNA-Cys". The record is from RNAcentral. Lineage: Eukaryota; Metazoa; Arthropoda; Remipedia; Nectiopoda; Speleonectidae.
AGAUCAUAAAGUUUACAACUCUUAAACGCUCAGUUUGCAAAACUAGGGAAAUUCGCAUAUGAUAUGAUCUU